CCUUGAUAUGCCUUUCCAUCCCUGGUCAUAUCGCUUGACAAUAUUCAUGGCCUGCUCGCCCAUCACUGUGCAUUACCAUGAUCCUGGGAAUGCAUGACCGCACCACCCAAUAUCUUCGGUCCACAGCCUACUCACACAUUGAGCACUACCAUGAUAUCGGCAUCCAAGUCUGCCCCAUCAAGUAAAUAUCUUCGACCGGAUGAUAAAUGCAUCAAGCCAUCCUCUCCUUGGCAUGACCCUCUUGGCCAUCC
This 251-nucleotide long non-coding RNA is filed under the name Elaeis guineensis (African oil palm). RNAcentral describes it as "long non-coding RNA (EGUI_LNC038270)". Lineage: Eukaryota; Viridiplantae; Streptophyta; Magnoliopsida; Arecales; Arecaceae. The record is from RNAcentral.